GCUGCCAUGGAGACACGGCCCAGCGGCCGCCGGCCCCGCCCUGGGAGCCCCGCAGUGCGUCGCGCCGCUGCCCGCAUCUCCGAGGCCCGCGACGAGCGGGGCCUCACGGGAGCUGGAUGCUCGGAGCAGCAAGGCGGCCCUGGGGGCCCCUUCCGGUCCCGGGGCUGACGCCUGGCGGCGUCUCCGGGAACCCGCGCCCUUUCAAGCGCCGCUGGCUCCUGUUUCACAGAUGGAGACCCUGAAGCCCCAACAAGCAGCCUCCCCAGCACCUCCCAGUGACUGAAAAAGCUGGCACUGGGCGCCCGUCUCACUCUCCACCCAGCUCCCAGGCUGCCCCACGGGACCAGCACCUUUGGGGAGAGACGAGACCUGAACAAACGCUGGGGCUGGAUCCCCAGGGUGGGUCAGAACAGCCGUUGCCCUGAAAGCUGGCCCGGACAGAUGCGUGCGGGGCGUGCCACCGGAGCUCCUUCCAGCUUGCGUCUGGGGCCACCAUGUCCCUUCCUCAGGGCACUGGAUCCAUCUCUUCAAGCUCAGUGGUCCAGGCCAUGGUGGCAGAAUCACCCCCCAGGGUGUGACGCCUCGUCCCUGUCAAUUCCACACAGCUGCACCCGGAAGAGCUGUGGCCGGGCGCCGCUCUGACCUGUGUGCGGUCCCCUGAAUGGGUCUCAGGUGUCUUCAGAAUGCUGUGCAAGUUCAUUCGCAAACGUCCUAGAAGUGGAACUGCUGGGUCAAAGUGCAUUCCCCAAAUGUCCUGCCAGAGGCCUGGUCGGCAGCAGCCUCCUGCACAGCCCGAGUCCCUUCUGCGAGAGUCCUGGCUUGUUUGCAGCCUGCAGCUGGGAGAUUUGAAGUCAGACUUCCAGGAUUGCCGCAUGGAGCUGCAGAGGGAGUGAGCAUGGGGCUGGAGGACCUGCCCCGCCGGCUGACACUCCCACAGCAAGGCGGGCCCGCCAAGGAAGCACUCCACAUCCGCUAGGUAGGGUUUGUCUGCAUCUUUUCAGUUCUUCAGUUUAAGUCCUGCCUGGGAAGAAAGCAAACUCCAGAGGCAAAUCUGGAAUGCCUGUGUGCCACCUUCUCACCGCACCACAGACUCCCCUGAGGACGGGUUGUGGCGGGGUUGGCCCCAAGCAUGGGAGGCAGCGCAGACAUGCAGAAUGGGGUCUGAGGUCACGUUGCAACGCUGGCAGGAUGUGUGCUCAAGGGCCAGUCUCUGCAGGGGUCAGGGCGUGUGGGCCACGCACAAGGAGCUGGCACUAAGCCGCUUAGGCUGCAGGAAGACACCAUCUGCCUGGGGCGGACAAGGCCCCAUGUCCGUCCUCAAGGAGGCUGGUCUGGAUGAGAAGGGUCACAGUCUGGCCAGGAGUGUCACCGUGCCCCCUGACCCCAUCUGGGGUCGGGCUGGACAGGUCCUCAGGCCUAGACGUGGGCCCAGCCAGAACCUUCUCCCCUGGCAUGUCUCUUCCAGGCCUAGUUCCAGAGCUGUCAUUCUUCGGCGAGCCGCGCUGCACGCCAGCCUCCAGUCUGGCAGUUAAACCUCACUAUGAAAAUCUGCUUUUGGGAUUUUAUUUGCAUUUCCAUUAGACUGAGCGCAUCACAAGCCACUUCAGGAUAGACUGAGGUGCAGAGGGAGGGGACAAGCGGCCAGGUUGACUAGAAGAGCACAGAACCUGGCUGUCUCGAAGAGGGCAGCUUGUUCCAGGGAACCAAUGAACUGUCAGUAAAGGGGAUUGUGGCUUCCUAGUGAGGCAAGAAAUGAUGCUCCCUUCAUCCUGCCAGGGCUCAGGACAAGAGCUACUUAAUGGUUUGAUUAUUAUUAUUUUUUAAGAGAUGUUGUCCAGGCUGGAGUGCAGUGAUGCAAUCAUGGCUUACUGCAGCCUCAAACUCCUGGCCUCAGGCCAUCCUCCUGCCUCAGCCUCCCAAAGUGCUGUGAUCACAGGCACGAGCCACUGCAUCCUGCCUUUAAAUGGUUUUUUGGGGCCCCUUUUGGAUGCUCUGGGUGUUUUUGCCAAGAGUUACAGGAUGUCAAGUGUGGGGAGCUCAGCACCCUUGCUGUGGACCAGUGAAGGCUGUUCCAGACCAGGUGCUUCCAGACAUUUCCAGGCUCCAGGAGAGAGGCUGGGAGCCCCCACAGAAAGCACAGGAAAAUGCAAAAAAAAAAAACAGUCUUUUUUUUUUUUUUUUUUU
Molecule: long non-coding RNA, 2184 nt
Filed under: Homo sapiens (human)
Lineage: Eukaryota; Metazoa; Chordata; Mammalia; Primates; Hominidae
Description: long non-coding RNA NONHSAT135349.2
Source: RNAcentral